Molecule: ribosomal RNA, 377 nt
Filed under: uncultured bacterium
Lineage: Bacteria
Description: bacterial SSU rRNA
Rfam family: Bacterial small subunit ribosomal RNA
Source: RNAcentral
GUAGUCCUGGCAGUAAACGGUGUGCGCUUGGUGUGAGGGGAAUCGACCCCCCUUGUGCCGGAGCUAACGCGUUAAGCGCACCGCCUGGGAAGUACGGUCGCAAGACUAAAACUCAAAGAAAUUGACGGGGACCCGCACAAGCGGUGGAGUAUGUGGCUUAAUUCGAUGCAACGCGAAGAACCUUACCUAGGCUUGACAUGCAUCUCUAAGCGCGUGAAAGCGCGUGACCCUUCGGGGGAUUUGCACAGGUGCUGCAUGGCCGUCGUCAGCUCGUGUCGUGAGAUGUUGGGUUAAGUCCCGCAACGAGCGCAACCCUUGUGAACAGUUGCCAGCACUUAAGGUGGGAACUCUGUUCAGACUGCCCAGAUCAACUGGGA